This 329-nucleotide ribosomal RNA is filed under the name uncultured bacterium. Its description in RNAcentral is "bacterial SSU rRNA". It matches the Rfam family "Bacterial small subunit ribosomal RNA", at positions 29 to 355 of the family's 1533-position model. The record is from RNAcentral.
AUUGAACGCUGGCGGAAUGCUUUACACAUGCAAGUCGGGCGGCAGCGCGGGGGCAACCCUGGCGGCGAGCGGCGAACGGGUGAGUAACACAUCGGAACGUACCCUGUCGUGGGGGAUAACGAAUCGAAAGAUUCGCUAAUACCGCAUACGACCUGAGGGGUGAAAAGCGGGGGGAUCGGCAAGACCUCGCGCGAGAGGAGCGGCCGAUGGCGGAUUAGCUAGUUGGUGGGGUAAAGGCCCACCAAGGCGACGAUCCGUAGCGGGUCUGAGAGGACGGCCCGGCCACACUGGGACUGAGACACGGCCCAGACUCCUACGGAGGCAGCAGU